Molecule: ribosomal RNA, 447 nt
Filed under: uncultured bacterium
Lineage: Bacteria
Description: bacterial SSU rRNA
Rfam family: Bacterial small subunit ribosomal RNA
Source: RNAcentral
UUCCAGACUCCUACGGGAGGCAGCAGUGGGGAAUAUUGCACAAUGGGGGAAACCCUGAUGCAGCGACGCCGCGUGAGUGAAGAAGUAUUUCGGUAUGUAAAGCUCUAUCAGCAGGGAAGAAAAUGACGGUACCUGACUAAGAAGCCCCGGCUAACUACGUGCCAGCAGCCGCGGUAAUACGUAGGGGGCAAGCGUUAUCCGGAUUUACUGGGUGUAAAGGGAGCGUAGACGGCAUGGCAAGUCAGAUGUGAAAGCCCGGGGCUCAACCCCGGGACUGCAUUUGAAACUGUCAGGCUGGAGUGCAGGAGAGGUACGUUGAAUUCCUAGUGUAGCGGUGAAAUGCGUAGAUAUUAGGAGGAACACCAGUGGCGAAGGCGGCUUACUGGACUGUAACUGACGCUGAGGCACGAAAGUGUGGGGAGCAAACAGGAUUAGAUACCCGUGUAU